This is a long non-coding RNA of Chinchilla lanigera (long-tailed chinchilla), 614 nucleotides long. RefSeq lists it as uncharacterized. The record is from RefSeq and is a predicted model, not a curated record. The transcript is spliced from 4 exons. NCBI's taxonomy places the organism in Eukaryota, Metazoa, Chordata, Mammalia, Rodentia, Chinchillidae.
CGUUUUGCUCUGCCACAGGGUCACACGGUCACCAGGUGCUGCCUUACCGCAGUGCUGAAAGCAACCUCAGCCAAAUGAAGCUUCUCUCUGGACAGACUCAGCGUCCUCAGCUGGAGAGGAAUGAGGUUGGUUUUGCACCUCUCUUCUUUGGUGUAGCCAGUGAAGAUUAAAACCAUGGUCCUCAGAAAGACGCUUUGGAUGAUAUUUCCAAGACAUAGCUGUGAGCCCAGAUGGCUUGAAGAUAAUACCAUCUGGAUGUUAUUCCAAACAGGAAGAAGACAGAGCUGCUCUCUCCCAAAUUCCCUUUAUGUGAAACCCCAGAAAGGACUCCGUGACUACGAUCUCCCUCCUUGGCUCCUCACGUGUGCAGCAAAUGGGCGCUGUGACUUCAUGCCUGAGAUGCUACUGCAGUUCACAGAAACCAGACCGUAUUCUGGGAGCUUUACUGCUUGGAGAUCUCUGUCAACAAAUAUGCCAGCUUGUCGCUCUUCAGUCUCACCUGCUGCAAAGUCCUAGGACAUGGAUGCAGCCAUAUUCUCUGCCACUUUAUAACACAAAUGGCCUCGCCUCUGUUCCCCUACACAUUGCUCCUCAUUUCCAGCAUCAGAAUGGCC